Molecule: unclassified non-coding RNA, 109 nt
Filed under: Mus musculus (house mouse)
Lineage: Eukaryota; Metazoa; Chordata; Mammalia; Rodentia; Muridae
Description: partial probably derived from hnRNA or mRNA fragment, 5' or 3' untranslated region
Source: RNAcentral
AGCUUUGAUGGCAUAGUAACUUCUCAUGUUAUGGAAUUGAUUUGCAUUNAACACAAACUGUAAAUAAAAGAAAGAAAUGGCAUAAAAAAAAAAAAAAAAAAAAAAAAAA